CAGAAGAAGCACCGGCUAACUCCGUGCCAGCAGCCGCGGUAAUACGGAGGGUGCGAGCGUUAAUCGGAAUUACUGGGCGUAAAGGGCACGCAGGCGGUUAAUUAAGUUGGAUGUGAAAUCCCCGGGCUUAACCUGGGAAUGGCAUUCAAGACUGGUUAGCUAGAGUCUUGUAGAGGGGGGCAGAAUUCCAUGUGUAGCGGUGAAAUGCGUAGAGAUGUGGAGGAAUACCGGUGGCGAAGGCGGCCCACUGGACAAAGACUGACGCUCAUGUGCGAAAGCGUGGGGAGCAAACAGGAUUAGAUACCCUGGUAGUCCACGCUGUAAACGAUGUCGAUUUGGAGGUUGUGGUCAUGAACUGUGGCCUCCGGAGCUAACGCGUUAAAUCGACCGCCUGGGGAGUACGGCCGCAAGGUUAAAACUCAAAUGAAUUGACGGGGGCCCGCACAAGCGGUGGAGCAUGUGGUUUAAUUCGAUGCAACGCGAAGAACCUUACCUACUCUUGACAUCCAGCGAAU
This 515-nucleotide ribosomal RNA is filed under the name SMC proteobacterium. RNAcentral describes it as "bacterial SSU rRNA". It matches the Rfam family "Bacterial small subunit ribosomal RNA", at positions 482 to 996 of the family's 1533-position model. Lineage: Bacteria; Pseudomonadati; Pseudomonadota; Gammaproteobacteria; Enterobacterales; Enterobacteriaceae. The record is from RNAcentral.